UACAGAGGGUGCGAGCGUUACUCGGAAUUACUGGGCGUAAAGCGCACGUAGGCGGCUUGGUAUGUCGGGUGUGAAAUCCCCGGGCUCAACCUGGGAACUGCAUCCGAAACUGCCUUGCUCGAGUAUGGGAGAGGGAAGUGGAAUUUCCGGUGUAGCGGUGAAAUGCGUAGAUAUCGGAAGGAACAUCAGUGGCGAAGGCGACUUCCUGGACCAAUACUGACGCUCAGGUGCGAAAGCUUGGGGAGCAAACAGG
Molecule: ribosomal RNA, 253 nt
Filed under: uncultured bacterium
Lineage: Bacteria
Description: partial 16S ribosomal RNA
Rfam family: Bacterial small subunit ribosomal RNA
Source: RNAcentral